RNAcentral lists this ribosomal RNA (228 nucleotides) under uncultured bacterium. Its description in RNAcentral is "partial 16S ribosomal RNA". It matches the Rfam family "Bacterial small subunit ribosomal RNA", at positions 943 to 1167 of the family's 1533-position model. The record is from RNAcentral.
GGUUUAAUUCGAAGCAACGCGCAGAACCUUACCAGCCCUUGACAUCCCGGUUUCGGGUUCGAGAGAUCGAGCCUUUCAGUUCGGCUGGACCGGAGACAGGUGCUGCAUGGCUGUCGUCAGCUCGUGUCGUGAGAUGUUGGGUUAAGUCCCGCAACGAGCGCAACCCUCGCCCUUAGUUGCCAGCAUUUGGUUGGGCACUCUAAGGGGACUGCCGGUGAUAAGCCGAGA